Molecule: non-coding RNA, 112 nt
Organism: Guyanagaster necrorhizus
Lineage: Eukaryota; Fungi; Basidiomycota; Agaricomycetes; Agaricales; Physalacriaceae
Source: the annotation of a RefSeq genome assembly
GCUGGAAUGGCCGAGUCGUUAAGGCGAGUGAUUUGAAUCAUUCUCUUGCUUAUUUAGGCAUUUAAACAUCACUUGGUGUUUCACCGCGUAGGUUCAAAUCCUGCUUCCAGCG